Molecule: ribosomal RNA, 491 nt
Filed under: uncultured bacterium
Lineage: Bacteria
Description: partial 16S ribosomal RNA
Rfam family: Bacterial small subunit ribosomal RNA
Source: RNAcentral
AGUGAACGCUGGCGGUAGGCCUAACACAUGCAAGUCGAACGGCAGCACAGUAAGAGCUUGCUCUUACGGGUGGCGAGUGGCGGACGGGUGAGGAAUACAUCGGAAUCUACUUUUUCGUGGGGGAUAACGUAGGGAAACUUACGCUAAUACCGCAUACGACCUACGGGUGAAAGCAGGGGAUCUUCGGACCUUGCGCGAUUGAAUGAGCCGAUGUCGGAUUAGCUAGUUGGCGGGGUAAAGGCCCACCAAGGCGACGAUCCGUAGCUGGUCUGAGAGGAUGAUCAGCCACACUGGAACUGAGACACGGCCCAGACUCCUAGGGGAGGCAGCAGUGGGGAAUAUUGGACAAUGGGCGCAAGCCUGAUCCAGCCAUACCGCGUGGGUGAAGAAGGCCUUCGGGUUGUAAAGCCCUUUUGUUGGGAAAGAAAAGCAGCAGGUUAAUACCCCGCUGUUCUGACGGUACCCAAAGAAUAAGCACCGGCUAACUUCGU